Molecule: long non-coding RNA, 2188 nt
Organism: Pogona vitticeps (central bearded dragon)
Lineage: Eukaryota; Metazoa; Chordata; Lepidosauria; Squamata; Agamidae
Source: Ensembl
GGUGGUGCAGCUUGGCCUCUCCCAAUUUGAAGAGACCCUUGUCCAGCAGGCCGAGGCAAGGAGGUCAUCCCGAAACCAGCAAAACCAGGGAGCUGGACGGGGGACAGAUUGUCUUUGUCUUCAGUGUGGGAGGGAUUGUUGUCACUCUCGAACUGGCCUUCUCAGCCACACCAGACGCUAUUCUGAGUCCUCCAUUCAGAGCACGUGGCCCUAGUCUCUUGAGAGGGAAGGAUGCCUACUUAGGGGUGCUUUAACGCUUGCGAUCAGAACAGGUGUCGGCUUGCUUAGUCCAAAGGAGGAAAAGCUAAGGAGCCAAAGCUGAUGAAGCCAGCAUGCGUCAGUGUGGUCAGUGAUGCAGCAGCCUCCCUCCAUUCGGUCCUAACAGUUGGGCCCGUGCUGUUUUGACCCAGCUGUCUCUUUUGCAGUCCCUCCCUCUUGUGUGGGUCCCUCCCAAGACCAGGUCGGUGGAAUAAGACCCUCUUUGGCUUCUUUCCAAGCCUCGCCCUCUUCCCCCCCCCAAACCUUUUUUGUUUUUGUUUUUUUUAAUCCCAUUCCCGGGGCCUGGUUCAUCUCUGUUUCACCUCAGCCCAGAGCAAGGUCACCUCUGUGUCCCAUGGAAAAACCCCAGCGACAGGAUUCCCCCGGGCUGGAGAGCAGCAACAUUGCAGCCCAACCCUUUCAGCUUUGCUCUCCCGGCCUUUUAGUUCCCCACAUCUGGAACAUUGGGUAAUGUUUAACAGUGGCAUUGAAGCUGUGGAUUCGGUGACUCUGCCCCUCCUGGUGAUCAGAGGAGGACCGAACAAAACGCAGCGGGAGCUGGCUGGAGGAACACCCUCGGGGAGACCUUCCGCUCCUUCCCUAGCCCUCCGAGAUGGGAUCCUGGCUGCUGGGGGCUUGGCCCGCCACUUUGGCCCUCCUGGUUUUCAUCGAUGUGGGGCAUGGAGCAGAGCUCAGGGACGCCGCUUGGGAGGCAGAGGGUGACCCCCGCAAGGGAGAGGUGGCAAAUCUCCGGUUGUCCAGGACCACCCAGCGAAGCAAACCCACCUUCUACCGGACCGGCAGCCUUUCUGCCCUCAGCAGAGGCCUGAUGACCAACCUGAGCGUUGUGGAAGAAGUCCCAGAAGAAGUCGAGGACGCCCAGCGUCGUGAGAGGCAGGCCAGCCUCAUCAGGGAUCCCUGUUGGGGGUGCUGUGUGACUCGGUUUCCCAACCACACAGGGAGCAGAGAGGCCGGAUCCUCUCCUGAGAUAAAAGGGUCGGGCCGCCAAGAAGCCAACGCCACUGAGCGCUGCCGAGGCUGCUGUGGGGCAAACGGUCCAGCAGACGGUCGGCCCCUGGGAAGAGGGGAGGAAGGGAGAGGGUCCCAAACCUCGCAGGGUCACUCCGGCGAGAGGCCGCAGAGGCCUGUCUCGGACCGGGAGGUCCCGGCCGACCGGCCUGCCCAGAAGGGAGAAAACGGCUGGUCCUCCUUCUCCAGAGGCGUCCAUGAGCCCCAAAGGCAACCACACCGAGGAGGGCCGUGAAUGGCGAAGGGCAACCGGGAAAGAGGCCACGAACCGAAAGAAGAUCCUUGGCAGGAACGGGAGAUGAAGGCAGAGAGAGUCUUCACCUGCACAGACCCUGCCUCCCCAUGGACUCCCGUUCUCGUCACUCUCUCUCUCUCUCUCUCUCUCUCUCUCUCUCCCCCCCCCCCACAGAAUCAAGAAACAGCAGCCAAGAACUGACCCGGACUUGGCCAACGAGGCCCCGCGGGGGGAGGNNGCCAACGAGGCCCCAGGUGGGGAGGGGGCUCGGGCAGCUCUGGAGGGCUGGGGCGGAGCUGGUCUAGGCUGGCCCUGUUUCAGUCCGGGCAACGCGCUGCCCACCUGCCGCAGGGGAGCCACGUGGGAACCUCCUCCUUUGGACUCAGAGGCAUGAUGGCUGGAAGUGUCGGCUCUGUUACCUGGUGCUUUAGAAGCAAACCAAAAGCUGGACCCCAAGCAAGGAGGAGGAGGAGGAGGAGGAGAAAGGCAACCCACAAACGAUAUAGAUAGAGAAAUAUAGAAAGAAUUAAAUUAAAAAGCUGCUCCUUCUUCCUCCCCCCAGCUUUAAUUAGGGCUUUCAAAUGGUCAUGUGCUUGGGUGUGUGCAAUUUCUACAAAAUAAUACUGUUCCUGUAAAAUAAAAAGCAACAGGACUUAAGGAUUUGCA